RNAcentral lists this ribosomal RNA (1371 nucleotides) under Bacillus subtilis. RNAcentral's name for it is "16S ribosomal RNA". It matches the Rfam family "Bacterial small subunit ribosomal RNA", at positions 78 to 1434 of the family's 1533-position model. The record is from RNAcentral. Lineage: Bacteria; Bacillati; Bacillota; Bacilli; Caryophanales; Bacillaceae.
GCUUGCUCCCUGAUGUUAGCGGCGGACGGGUGAGUAACACGUGGGUAACCUGCCUGUAAGACUGGGAUAACUCCGGGAAACCGGGGCUAAUACCGGAUGGUUGUUUGAACCGCAUGGUUCAAACAUAAAAGGUGGCUUCUGCUACGACUUACAGAUGGGCCCGCGGCGCAUUAUCUAGUUGGUGAGGUAACGGCUCACCAAGGCGACGAUGCGUAUCCGACCUGAGAGGGUGAUCGGCCACACUGGGACUGAGACACGGCCCACACUCCUACGGGAGGCAGCAGUACCCAAUCUUCCGCAAUGGACAAAAGUCUGACGGUUUACGCCGCGUGAGUGAUGAAAGUUUUCGGAUCGUAAAGCUCUGUUGUUAGGGAAGAAAAAGUACCGUUCGAAUAGGGCGGGACCUUGACGGUACCUAACCAGAAAGCCACGGCUAACUACGUGCCAGCAGCCGCGGUAAUACGUAUGUGGGAAGCGUUGUCCGGAAUUAUUGGGCGUAAAGGGCUCGCAGGCGGUUUCUUAAGUCUGAUGUGAAAGCCCCCGGCUCUCCCGGGGAGGGUCAUUGUAAACUGGGGAACUUGAGUGCAGAAGAGGAGAGUGGAAUUCCACGUGUAGCGGUGAAAUGCGUAGAGAUGUGGAGGAACACCAGUGGCGAAGGCGACUCUCUGGUCUGUAACUGACGCUGAGGAGCGAAAGCGUGGGGAGCGAAACAGGAUUAGAUACCCUGGUAGUCCACGCCGUAAACGAUGAGUGCUAAGUGUUAGGGGGUUUCCGCCCCUUAGUGCUGCAGCUAACGCAUUAAGCACUCCGCCUGGGGAGUACGGUCGCAAGACUGAAACUCAAAGGAAUUGACGGGGGCCCGCACAAGCGGUGGAGCAUGUGGUUUAAUUCGAAGCAACGCGAAGAACCUUACCAGGUCUUGACAUCCUCUGACAAUCCUAGAGAUAGGACGUCCCCUUCGGGGGCAGAGUGACAGGUGGUGCAUGGUUGUCGUCAGCUCGUGUCGUGAGAUGUUGGGUUAAGUCCCGCAACGAGCGCAACCCUUGAUCUUAGUUGCCAGCAUUCAGUUGGGCACUCUAAGGUGACUGCCGGUGACAAACCGGAGGAAGGUGGGGAUGACGUCAAAUCAUCAUGCCCCUUAUGACCUGGGCUACACACGUGCUACAAUGGACAGAACAAAGGGCAGCGAAACCGCGAGGUUAAGCCAAUCCCACAAAUCUGUUCUCAGUUCGGAUCGCAGUCUGCAACUCGCCUGCGUGAAGCUGGAAUCGCUAGUAAUCGCGGAUCAGCAUGCCGCGGUGAAUACGUUCCCGGGCCUUGUACACACCGCCCGUCACACCACGAGAGUUUGUAACACCCGAAGUCGGUGAG